GUAACAUUUUCCCUUUCCCCACUCUCUCGAUCAAUUCCUUUCUUUUCCCUCGGCGCAGACCUAAACCCCAGCGACUUCGUCUUUUCUUCAUUUUCUUGUUCCUCUUCACAACUAAAUACUACAUCAAAUUCCACCGUAAAGUGGACACGUUCAUGAAGACAAGUUUUGGCAUUCACGUGGAGGGCUUUUGGGACAAUUUUGGGAGUUAACGUUGGUGCUUCAAAGAAGGGGAGUAGGGUAUUCAUUAGAUCAGGAUGACACUAUUGAUUCCAUUGAGAUUCGACGGCGAGUGGAUCGUUCGGUGGUCGCAGGAUUGCUUGGAUUGCUGAAAGCAAUCGUGGUUAUUCUUCAUAGUUAUUUUCAGGAAACUGAGGAGCAUACUAUUGUCAGAUCAGGUCGUUCGGCUUAUUUCAUUUAUAGGCCUCAUUUGGAAGGUUGUCAUAGUUUUGUCUGUUGUUGGUCUUUGUCAUUCUGCAGCUAUAGGGGGAGUCUUUGUGGGAAUUCAGUUUGAUUUAUUAUUAUUCGUUUUAAUUUAAGAAUUAGCACUUUAGUACUGGAUUUGAAGUUUAUGUAUUCUUGGAAUUCUAGUUAUAUGAUAAAUCUGAAUUGAUAGAUUUUAUUAUUUUGGAGAUAUUGAUAUUACAGGAAAGAUUCCUUUCGAUUUAUAUAAAUUAUAGGAAAUAUGUAUAAUUUUAGAAAA
Lotus japonicus is the source of this 700-nucleotide long non-coding RNA. RefSeq lists it as uncharacterized. The record is from RefSeq and is a predicted model, not a curated record. The transcript has 3 exons. Lineage: Eukaryota; Viridiplantae; Streptophyta; Magnoliopsida; Fabales; Fabaceae.